AAAAUUUUUAGGUGCUGAGGACAAAGAGAAGACACACAGAAGGACUGAGACAGAGGGUCUGAACUGGAAGGACAGAGACUGAUGGACAGAGCAGGAGAGGGGAUGACCUGAAAAGACCAGUUUGAGAUAAGGAGAACAAAGAUGUUGAUGGCUCCAAGCUUCUCCCUAGCCUGUCAAGCAAAAAGCAUAAGGACAAAAUGGAAAAGGCUCCAGCAAGUAAUCCUCUACUUUAUCUCCUGCUGUUUCAGAAUGAGGUGGAAACUUUCUCCAGUGCCCAUGUGUUGAAGACUCUUCCCCAUCUUUUCUUCUAUUAGUGUAGUGCCCACCUCGACCAGCAAGGAAGACACAUCACCGUUGGAUUCUUCUCAACAGCCUUUAUUUCAGGAAAACCUCAUUCUUGAUGAGGGGGGCCCCGAGGGAAAAAAGGCACUCCCCCUAAAUACAAGAAAGGCUGUGGUUGUAAA
This is a non-coding RNA of Rattus norvegicus (Norway rat), 464 nucleotides long. Lineage: Eukaryota; Metazoa; Chordata; Mammalia; Rodentia; Muridae. The record is from RefSeq and is a predicted model, not a curated record.